RNAcentral lists this ribosomal RNA (225 nucleotides) under uncultured Staphylococcus sp. RNAcentral describes it as "partial 16S ribosomal RNA". It matches the Rfam family "Bacterial small subunit ribosomal RNA", at positions 139 to 355 of the family's 1533-position model. The record is from RNAcentral. Lineage: Bacteria; Bacillati; Bacillota; Bacilli; Caryophanales; Staphylococcaceae.
UGGGAUAACGUUACGGGAAACCGGAGCUAAUACCGGAUAAUAUAUUUAACCGCAUGGUUCAAUAGUGAAAGACGGUUUUGCUGUCACUUAUAGAUGGAUCCGCGCUGCAUUAGCUAGUUGGUAAGGUAACGGCUUACCAAGGCAACGAUGCGUAGCCGACCUGAGAGGGUGAUCGGCCACACUGGAACUGAGACACGGUCCAGACUCCUACGGGAGGCAGCAGUC